AUUGAACGCUGGCGGCAGGCCUAACACAUGCAAGUCGAGCGGAUGAAGGGAGCUUGCUCCUGGAUUCAGCGGCGGACGGGUGAGUAAUGCCUAGGAAUCUGCCUGGUAGUGGGGGAUAACGUCCGGAAACGGGCGCUAAUACCGCAUACGUCCUGAGGGAGAAAGUGGGGGAUCUUCGGACCUCACGCUAUCAGAUGAGCCUAGGUCGGAUUAGCUAGUUGGUGGGGUAAAGGCCUACCAAGGCGACGAUCCGUAACUGGUCUGAGAGGAUGAUCAGUCACACUGGAACUGAGACACGGUCCAGACUCCUACGGGAGGCAGCAGUGGGGAAUAUUGGACCAUGGGCGAAGGCCUGAUCCAGCCAUGCCGCGUGUGUGAAGAAGGUCUUCGGAUUGUAAAGCACUUUAAGUUGGGAGGAAGGGCAGUAAGUUAAUACCUUGCUGUUUUGACGUUACCAACAGAAUAAGCACCGGCUAACUUCGUG
Molecule: ribosomal RNA, 484 nt
Filed under: uncultured bacterium
Lineage: Bacteria
Description: partial 16S ribosomal RNA
Rfam family: Bacterial small subunit ribosomal RNA
Source: RNAcentral